GAUCAUGGCUCAGGAUGAACGCUGGCGGCGUGCCUAACACAUGCAAGUCGAACGGAAUUUACAUGAAGCCUAGCGAUUGUAAAUUUAGUGGCGGACGGGUGAGUAACGCGUGGGUAACCUGCCUUGUACUGGGGGACAACAGUUGGAAACGACUGCUAAUACCGCAUAAGCGCACUGCUUCGCAUGAAGCAGUGUGAAAAACUCCGGUGGUACAAGAGCGGCCGCU
RNAcentral lists this ribosomal RNA (226 nucleotides) under uncultured bacterium. RNAcentral describes it as "partial 16S ribosomal RNA". It matches the Rfam family "Bacterial small subunit ribosomal RNA", at positions 15 to 235 of the family's 1533-position model. The record is from RNAcentral.